UAUCUGCCGUGGGCGCUGGAGAAUUGAGGGGGGCUGCUCCUAGUACGAGAGGACCGGAGUGGACGCAUCACUGGUGUUCGGGUUGUCAUGCCAAUGGCAUUGCCCGGUAGCUAAAUGCGGAAGAGAUAAGUGCUGAAAGCAUCUAAGCACGAAACUUGCCCCGAGAUGAGUUCUCCCUGAGACUUAAAGUCUCCUGAAGGAACGUUAAAGACGAUGACGUUGAUAGGUCGGGUGUGUAAGUGUAGCGAUACAUUGAGCUAACCGAUACUAAUGAACCGUGAGGCUUAACCUU
RNAcentral lists this ribosomal RNA (292 nucleotides) under Listeria monocytogenes. Its description in RNAcentral is "partial 23S ribosomal RNA". It matches the Rfam family "Bacterial large subunit ribosomal RNA", at positions 2639 to 2925 of the family's 2925-position model. The record is from RNAcentral. Lineage: Bacteria; Bacillati; Bacillota; Bacilli; Caryophanales; Listeriaceae.